Non-coding RNA from Tetranychus urticae (two-spotted spider mite), 2956 nucleotides. The record is from RefSeq and is a predicted model, not a curated record. Lineage: Eukaryota; Metazoa; Arthropoda; Arachnida; Trombidiformes; Tetranychidae.
AACAAAUUAAUCAAAAUUAAUUGGUCACAAAGUGAAUAUCUCUUAUCCUCCUCCACUUCAUCAUCACCUAAACUAUUAUCAUCCAUCUUGGCCCAUCAUCACGGUAACUCGACUGACCAUUUGAAAACAAUUUUCAUAUUUCCUUUGAAGGUAAAAACCAGCGCAAAGGAACAAGUGAUUAAAACAAGUCUAAUUAUGGCAAUAUAACAACAUAAUUACUGGUCACAUUUGGUCAUUCUUUGAACCCUCAAAUGGUCAAAGGCCGCGCAGAUAAGGUGGGAUAAUAUGGUAAAACUGAGGUUACCUUUAAAGGGUGAAAAUCAAGAUGAAAGGUUAACCUUUAAAAACAGUAAACCUUUCAAAGUGAAGUAAUUAAGGUUAUUUAAGAGACGAUUUCUUGUUGGAAAGCAAUUCAACUUAAUGGUGAUUGAUUUGUUAUUUAUUAUUAUCCUUAGGACAUUGUCAUCAUCAUCAUCAUCAUAACUAGUCAUCUUCAUGACCAGUAGCUUUGCUAGUUUAACAACUCAACAUCCACUUUAACUCCUGACCUGUAACCUUUGUAAACAUUGGUCAUGUUGACUGAAAGACUCAAAAUUGACAAUCAAUGGUAUCAACCUUUAAGGGUGCAUUUCAAGUGUUAAAUAUGAUACAAUUUAACAUGUAAUAUUGAUUUUGUGUCUUCAGCUCUUUUAAUCAACUUGUAAUGAAAGCAAUUUUGAAACAUCCUUGAUUGACAUGAACAUUGUAUUGUAACUUUUGAGCAAAAAAAAGCAGCGAUUCAGUUUGCUGCUUUUGUUAUCAUGGAUAUAUCCUGAUUGAAGAUGAAACAUAAUCAUUUGCCAUUGUUGAACUGAAGCCGGUAAAAGUAAAGGUAAACCGUGAAAAUAAUAUUACAAAUGAAAAGAGAUUCUGAAUACAAACACAAAAAAAGACAUUUACUACAAGAAUGUUUGUUGAUCACAUGAAGGAAGAGGAUGAAGAUGAAAAUGAUGAAAGUAAUGAUGAAAAAAGCUAGUAAAAUGUGUACAAAUCAUCUUUAUAUUGAACGCCAUUUUAAUCAUUUUCAUCGUCAUAAUCAACAAAUGUAUUGUGUACUUUGAUUUGCUGUCGGCAUUAAACAACUUAUUUUUUUUCAUUCCAAACAUCAUUGUGCUCUCAUAAUGAUCAACAAAUUAUCCUAUUAUUGUUAUACUAAUUCAGAUAAUACAUGAAGAUGUUUAACUUGAUCAACAUCAACCUUUCACUGUGUUGAUAUCAACAUAAACACUUCAACAAAAUUGUAUCAAAUUUAUUCACCUUUCUUGGUAAUCAGUUGAUUUAGCUCUCGAGUCAAUGGACUUGCAUCAAAGAUGAUCGCAACUCAAGUAUUAAAAGGUUAGAUUAUGUUUGAUUGUCAAGUUAAUGAACAAAAAAUGUCAAAUUUUCACACUUAAAUUGCGCGCCCAUCAAACUCACAACUCCUUUCUGUCUCAAGUCAUAUGUUAAAUUUUAGCUUUGUCAUGGAAAUUUAUGCUUAAAAUAAAAUACUAAUUUUGUUGAAUUUUAUAAUUGUGCAGCUAUUGACAAUCCUUGAAUUUUGAUUAUUUGAUCAACGACCAUCCUUUUUACCAAUUAUUUACUAGUUUUGUACAAGAGAUUGGGUAUCAAUUUUACUUAAUCAUUACAUUUGGAUCUCUACUUUUGUACCUUUACAUUUGGUGGAUUGAUCUGGCAUUUCUGGUGCCUCAACAAUUAUCUUUAAUUUAUAUUCAUGGCUAUGACACUGGUUCUUAGUUAACACCGUUACUAAUACAAAAUGGCAAACCAGAUGACCAGAUUAUUCUGCCAAUUGGAAAUGGAUUAAGAAAAUGUGUUUACCUAAUGUGCCUUAAGCUGGAAGAUAAUCAUCAUGUAUGAUGUAUUGUGAUUGGAAAAGCAGGGAAUAAGGUUUGCGCUUUUCAAUUGGUUAAAAGGAGUUACACAUUUAGCCGAUAUCAUUCAACAAAUAAAGCCUAUCAAGGGAAGUCAAUUAACUAAGUGAUUUCAACAAGUUAAUGUUUAUAAAGUGAAAAGUGUGUUCAGCAAACUCAAAUACAUAACUUGGUGUAUUUAAUAAGGUAAAAUGUAGAUGAUGAAAAUUAUUGCCAUUGGUAACAAUCAUAAUAAUGGCAAUAAUGAUUAUCAUCAUCAAUAAUAUUGAUCAAGAAUGAUGAUAAUUAAAUAUUACAAACAAAUAGACUGAUUAAUUGAGCUUGAGGCUUUAAAGUCAAUGAAUCUCUUCAGGGUAAAACAAUAUAAAAUAAAUAAUCAGUGAGUUAAAUGAAAAAAACAAAAAAAGGAAAAGCAUUUUUCCAAAUUUUCAUUUUUCUCUUUAAUAUCAUCAUAAUUUCAAACUAAUUAAUCAAUCUGAUUGUAAAUUAAGUCUGUCAAAACUGUUCUAGAUUCAGUUUUCACCAACAAUUAUUCAAAUGGUUCAUCUAACAAAAUAAAUAUCAUUUCAAGUUUUCAUUUUUUGUUAACCAAUAAUAAUUAUCAUACAGAACCGUUAACCUUUUUUUAAUAACAUAAAAGGUUGAUUACAAAUCUGUAAUUACCGUUGAAGAUGAAACAAUUUGUGAAAAGAUGAAAUCAAAUUUAACCUUAUUCAUGAUGAAAAAUAAGGACUAAUGUAAAUAAUGGCGAGAAACGAGUUGAAACAAAAUGGAUUGUUAAUGAUAUGUUACCAUGUUUAUUGAGUUCACUAUUAAUGGUAACAAUUUGUACAUUAAUUGUAUCUUUAAAUGCAUGAAAUACAUGAACAUUUACAACAAAUUAACUCAAUCUAUUAAAUGAUUUCACAUGAAAUUGUAACUAACAUUAAAAGCUUCAAAUUUCAUCUAUUUUAAUACAAUGAUAAUUGGAAGCAAAAGGUUGACUCUUGGAGCAUAAAGAAGACAGAAAUGACAAUGAAAUUAAAAUGUUGGAUUCAGAUCUAAAA